Molecule: ribosomal RNA, 468 nt
Filed under: uncultured bacterium
Lineage: Bacteria
Description: partial 16S ribosomal RNA
Rfam family: Bacterial small subunit ribosomal RNA
Source: RNAcentral
GACGAACGCUGGCGGCGUGCUUAACACAUGCAAGUCGAACGGAAAGGCCCUGCUUUUGUGUUUUGCUCGAUUGGCGAACGGGGGUGUAACACGUGAGUAACCUGCCCUUGACUUUGUGAUAACUUCAGGGAACUGGGGCUAAUACCCGAUAGAAGCUCCUGCUGCAUGGUGUGGGUUGGUAAGUUUCGGCGGUUGGGGAUGGACUAGAGGCUUAUCAGCUUGUUGGUGGGGUAGUGGCUUACCAAGGCUUUGACGGGUAGCCGGCCUGUGAGGGGGACCGGCCACAUUGGGACUGAGAUACGGCCCAGACUCCUACGGGAGGCAGCAGUGGGGAAUAUUGCACAAUGGGCGGAAGCCUGAUGCAGCAACGCCGCGUGCGGGAUGACGGCCUUCGGGUUGUAAACCGCUUUCGCAUGUGACGAAGCGUGAGUGACGGUAAUGGGUAAAGAAGCACCGGCUAACUACGUG